RNAcentral lists this unclassified non-coding RNA (421 nucleotides) under soil metagenome. RNAcentral describes it as "partial contains 5.8S ribosomal RNA, internal transcribed spacer 2, and large subunit ribosomal RNA". The stretch from base 1 to 120 matches the Rfam family "5.8S ribosomal RNA", at positions 35 to 154 of the family's 154-position model. The record is from RNAcentral.
GAUGUAGAACGUAGCGAAAUGCGAUAAGUAAUGUGAAUUGCAGAUUUCAGUGAAUCAUCGAAUCUUUGAACGCACCUUGCGCCUUGUGGUAUUCCACAAGGCAUGCCCGUUUGAGUAUCAUUAAAUCAUCAACUCUAAAACCUUUGUGGUUUUUUUAGAGCUUGGUCUUGAGGGUUUUGCAGGCUUUUUUUUUUUCGAGUCUGCUCCCUUUAAAUGCAUUAGCGAGACUUCCCUAUGCUGAACCGUCUCUUUGACGUGAUAAUUAUCUGCGUCGAAUUUUGGUUCUCGUUGGGCUUGCUUCUAAUCGUCUGUUAAAGACAAAACGGAUUUGGGUGCAUAUAUGCGCCUUUUUCCAAAACCUUUUUUGAUCUCAAAUCGGGUAGGACUACCCGCUGAACUUAAGCAUAUCAAUAGCGGAGGA